This 441-nucleotide ribosomal RNA is filed under the name uncultured bacterium. RNAcentral describes it as "partial 16S ribosomal RNA". It matches the Rfam family "Bacterial small subunit ribosomal RNA", at positions 338 to 795 of the family's 1533-position model. The record is from RNAcentral.
CCUACGGGCGGCAGCAGUGGGGAAUAUUGCACAAUGGGGGAAACCCUGAUGCAGCGACGCCGCGUGAGUGAAGAAGUAUUUCGGUAUGUAAAGCUCUAUCAGCAGGGAAGAAAAUGACGGUACCUGAUUAAGAAGCCCCGGCUAACUACGUGCCAGCAGCCGCGGUAAUACGUAGGGGGCAAGCGUUAUCCGGAUUUACUGGGUGUAAAGGGAGCGUAGACGGCAGCACAAGUUAGAAGUGAAAUACCCAGGGCUUAACUCGGGUGCUGCUUCUAAAACUGUAAGACUUGAGUGCAGUAGAGGUUAGUGGAAUUCCUAGUGUAGCGGUGGAAUGCGUAGAUAUUAGGAGGAACACCAGAGGCGAAGGCGGCUAACUGGACUGCAACUGACGCUGAGGCACGAAAGUGUGGGGAGCAAACAGGAUUAGAUACCCCUGUAGUC